UUAAGCGACUAAGCGUACACGGUGGAUGCCCUGGCAGUCAGAGGCGAUGAAGGACGUGCUAAUCUGCGAAAAGCGUCGGUAAGGUGAUAUGAACCGUUACAGCCGGCGAUGUCCGAAUGGGGAAACCCAGUGCAAUUCGUUGCACUAUCGUUAACUGAAUACAUAGGUUAACGAGGCGAACCGGGGGAACUGAAACAUCUAAGUACCCCGAGGAAAAGAAAUCAACCGAGAUUCCCCCAGUAGCGGCGAGCGAACGGGGAGCAGCCCGGAGUCUGAAUCAGCUUGUGUGUUAGUGGAAGCGUCUGGAAAGUCGCAGGGUACAGGGUGAUACUCCCGUACACUAAAACACACAGGUUGUGAACUCGAAGAGUAGGGCGGGACACGUGGUAUCCUGUCUGAAUAUGGGGGGACCAUCCUCCAAGGCUAAAUACUCCUGACUGACCGAUAGUGAACCAGUACCGUGAGGGAAAGGCGAAAAGAACCCCGGCGAGGGGAGUGAAAAAGAACCUGAAACCGUGUACGUACAAGCAGUAGGAGCCCACUAGUUGGGUGACUGCGUACCUUUUGUAUAAUGGGUCAGCGACUUAUAUUCUGUAGCAAGGUUAACCGUAUAGGGGAGCCGCAGGGAAACCGAGUCUUAACUGGGCGUUAAGUUGCAGGGUAUAGACCCGAAACCCGGUGAUCUAGCCAUGGGCAGGUUGAAGGUUGGGUAACACUAACUGGAGGACCGAACCGACUAAUGUUGAAAAAUUAGCGGAUGACUUGUGGCUGGGGGUGAAAGGCCAAUCAAACCGGGAGAUAGCUGGUUCUCCCCGAAAGCUAUUUAGGUAGCGCCUCGUGAACUCAUCUUCGGGGGUAGAGCACUGUUUCGGCUAGGGGGUCAUCCCGACUUACCAACCCGAUGCAAACUACGAAUACCGAAGAAUGUUAUCACGGGAGACACACGGCGGGUGCUAACGUCCGUCGUGAAGAGGGAAACAACCCAGACCGCCAGCUAAGGUCCCAAAGUCAUGGUUAAGUGGGAAACGAUGUGGGAAGGCCCAGACAGCCAGGAUGUUGGCUUAGAAGCAGCCAUCAUUUAAAGAAAGCGUAAUAGCUCACUGGUCGAGUCGGCCUGCGCGGAAGAUGUAACGGGGCUAAACCAUGCACCGAAGCUGCGGCAGCGACACUAUGUGUUGUUGGGUAGGGGAGCGUUCUGUAAGCCGUUGAAGGUGGCCUGUGAGGGUUGCUGGAGGUAUCAGAAGUGCGAAUGCUGACAUAAGUAACGAUAAUGCGGGUGAAAAACCCGCACGCCGGAAGACCAAGGGUUCCUGUCCAACGUUAAUCGGGGCAGGGUGAGUCGACCCCUAAGGCGAGGCCGAAAGGCGUAGUCGAUGGGAAACAGGUUAAUAUUCCUGUACUUGGUGUUACUGCGAAGGGGGGACGGAGAAGGCUAUGUUGGCCGGGCGACGGUUGUCCCGGUUUAAGCAUGUAGGCGGAUGUUCCAGGUAAAUCCGGAACGUCAUUAACGCUGAGGUGUGAUGACGAGGCACUACGGUGCUGAAGUGACAAAUGCCCUGCUUCCAGGAAAAGCCUCUAAGCAUCAGGUAACAUCAAAUCGUACCCCAAACCGACACAGGUGGUCAGGUAGAGAAUACCAAGGCGCUUGAGAGAACUCGGGUGAAGGAACUAGGCAAAAUGGUGCCGUAACUUCGGGAGAAGGCACGCUGAUGGUAGGUGAAGUGACUUGCUCAUGGAGCUGAAAUCAGUCGAAGAUACCAGCUGGCUGCAACUGUUUAUUAAAAACACAGCACUGUGCAAACACGAAAGUGGACGUAUACGGUGUGACGCCUGCCCGGUGCCGGAAGGUUAAUUGAUGGGGUUAUCCUCACGGAGAAGCUCUUGAUCGAAGCCCCGGUAAACGGCGGCCGUAACUAUAACGGUCCUAAGGUAGCGAAAUUCCUUGUCGGGUAAGUUCCGACCUGCACGAAUGGCGUAAUGAUGGCCAGGCUGUCUCCACCCGAGACUCAGUGAAAUUGAACUCGCUGUGAAGAUGCAGUGUACCCGCGGCAAGACGGAAAGACCCCGUGAACCUUUACUAUAGCUUGACACUGAACACUGGUCCUUGAUGUGUAGGAUAGGUGGGAGGCUUUGAAGUGUGGACGCCAGUCUGCAUGGAGCCGUCCUUGAAAUACCACCCUUUAAUGGCUGGUGUUCUAACGUGGGCCCGUGAUCCGGGUUGCGGACAGUGUCUGGUGGGUAGUUUGACUGGGGCGGUCUCCUCCUAAAGAGUAACGGAGGAGCACGAAGGUCAGCUAAUCCUGGUCGGACAUCAGGAGGUUAGUGCAAUGGCAUAAGCUGGCUUGACUGCGAGCGUGACGGCGCGAGCAGGUGCGAAAGCAGGUCAUAGUGAUCCGGUGGUUCUGAAUGGAAGGGCCAUCGCUCAACGGAUAAAAGGUACUCCGGGGAUAACAGGCUGAUACCGCCCAAGAGUUCAUAUCGACGGCGGUGUUUGGCACCUCGAUGUCGGCUCAUCACAUCCUGGGGCUGAAGUAGGUCCCAAGGGUAUGGCUGUUCGCCAUUUAAAGUGGUACGCGAGCUGGGUUUAGAACGUCGUGAGACAGUUCGGUCCCUAUCUGCCGUGGGCGCUGGAGAAUUGAGGGGGGCUGCUCCUAGUACGAGAGGACCGGAGUGGACGCAUCACUGGUGUUCGGGUUGUCAUGCCAAUGGCAUUGCCCGGUAGCUAAAUGCGGAAGAGAUAAGUGCUGAAAGCAUCUAAGCACGAAACUUGCCCCGAGAUGAGUUCUCCCUGACUCCUUGAGAGUCCUGAAGGAACGUUGAAGACGACGACGUUGAUAGGCCGGGUGUGUAAGCGCAGCGAUGCGUUGAGCUAACCGGUACUAAUGAACCGUGAGGCUUAACCUU
This 2904-nucleotide ribosomal RNA is filed under the name Klebsiella oxytoca BRL6-2. Its description in RNAcentral is "bacterial LSU rRNA". It matches the Rfam family "Bacterial large subunit ribosomal RNA". Lineage: Bacteria; Pseudomonadati; Pseudomonadota; Gammaproteobacteria; Enterobacterales; Enterobacteriaceae. The record is from RNAcentral.